Molecule: transfer RNA, 75 nt
Filed under: uncultured Pseudomonas sp.
Lineage: Bacteria; Pseudomonadati; Pseudomonadota; Gammaproteobacteria; Pseudomonadales; Pseudomonadaceae
Description: transfer RNA-Ala
Rfam family: Bacterial small subunit ribosomal RNA
Source: RNAcentral
GCACUCUAAAGAGACUGCCGUGGAUAACACGGAGGAAGGUGGGGAUGACGUCAAAUCAUCAUGCCCCUUAUGUCU